GCAUCCUUAGCUCAGUUGGUAGAGCAGUUGACUCUUAAUCAAUUGGUCGGGGGUUCGAGUCCCCCAGGAUGCACCA
This 76-nucleotide transfer RNA is filed under the name Ignavibacteria bacterium GWB2_35_6b. RNAcentral describes it as "tRNA-Lys". It matches the Rfam family "tRNA". From Rfam's summary of the family: Transfer RNA (tRNA) molecules are approximately 80 nucleotides in length. Their secondary structure includes four short double-helical elements and three loops (D, anti-codon, and T loops). The record is from RNAcentral. Lineage: Bacteria; Pseudomonadati; Ignavibacteriota; Ignavibacteria.